GCCACCUAGCCGGGCAAGCCUUACACAUGCAAGUCGAGCGGUAGCACAGGGGAGCUUGCUCCCUGGGUGACGAGCGGCGGACGGGUGAGUAAUGUCUGGGAAACUGCCUGAUGGAGGGGGAUAACUACUGGAAACGGUAGCUAAUACCGCAUAACGUCGCAAGACCAAAGAGGGGGACCUUCGGGCCUCUUGCCAUCAGAUGUGCCCAGAUGGGAUUAGCUAGUAGGUGGGGUAAUGGCUCACCUAGGCGACGAUCCCUAGCUGGUCUGAGAGGAUGACCAGCCACACUGGAACUGAGACACGGUCCAGACUCCUACGGGAGGCAGCAGUGGGGAAUAUUGCACAAUGGGCGCAAGCCUGAUGCAGCCAUGCCGCGUGUGUGAAGAAGGCCUUCGGGUUGUAAAGCACUUUCAGCGAGGAGGAAGGUGGUGAGCUUAAUACGCUCAUCAAUUGACGUUACUCGCAGAAGAAGCACCGGCUAACUCCGUGCCAGCAGCCGCGGUAAUACGGAGGGUGCAAGCGUUAAUCGGAAUUACUGGGCGUAAAGCGCACGCAGGCGGUUUGUUAAGUCAGAUGUGAAAUCCCCGGGCUCAACCUGGGAACUGCAUUUGAAACUGGCAAGCUAGAGUCUCGUAGAGGGGGGUAGAAUUCCAGGUGUAGCGGUGAAAUGCGUAGAGAUCUGGAGGAAUACCGGUGGCGAAGGCGGCCCCCUGGACGAAGACUGACGCUCAGGUGCGAAAGCGUGGGGAGCAAACAGGAUUAGAUACCCUGGUAGUCCACGCUGUAAACGAUGUCGAUUUGGAGGUUGUGCCCUUGAGGCGUGGCUUCCGGAGCUAACGCGUUAAAUCGACCGCCUGGGGAGUACGGCCGCAAGGUUAAAACUCAAAUGAAUUGACGGGGGCCCGCACAAGCGGUGGAGCAUGUGGUUUAAUUCGAUGCAACGCGAAGAACCUUACCUACUCUUGACAUCCAGAGAACUUUCCAGAGAUGGAUUGGUUGCCUUCGGGAACUCUGAGACAGGUGCUGCAUGGCUGUCGUCAGCUCGUGUUGUGAAAUGUUGGGUUUAGGUCCCCGCAACGAAGCGCAUCCUUUAUCCUUUUGUUGCCAGCGGUUUCGGCCGGGACUCAAAGAGAACUGCAGUGAUAACUGAAGGAAGGUGGGGGAUGGACGGUCAAGUUCAUAUCAUAUGC
Molecule: ribosomal RNA, 1190 nt
Filed under: Serratia nematodiphila
Lineage: Bacteria; Pseudomonadati; Pseudomonadota; Gammaproteobacteria; Enterobacterales; Yersiniaceae
Description: bacterial SSU rRNA
Rfam family: Bacterial small subunit ribosomal RNA
Source: RNAcentral